GAUGAAGAACGUAGCGAAAUGCGAUAAGUAAUGUGAAUUGCAGAAUUCCGUGAAUCAUCGAAUCUUUGAACGCACAUUGCGCCCUCUGGUAUUCCGGGGGGCAUGCCUGUCCGAGCGUCAUUUGCAACCCUCAAGCCCGGCUUGUGUGAUGGGUGCCGUCCCCUACGGGACGCGCCCCGAAGGCAAUGGCGGCGUCGCGGUUAUCCGAUCAGCCAAAGUGUAUGGGGCUUUGUCACUCAUUUUACGGCCCGGACCGGCGCCAGUACGAAUCAAUCUUUUUUCUAAAGUUGACCUCGGAUCAGGCAGGGAUACCCGCUGAACUUAAGCAUAUCAAUAAGCGGAGGA
RNAcentral lists this unclassified non-coding RNA (345 nucleotides) under soil metagenome. Its description in RNAcentral is "partial contains 5.8S ribosomal RNA, internal transcribed spacer 2, and large subunit ribosomal RNA". The stretch from base 1 to 120 matches the Rfam family "5.8S ribosomal RNA", at positions 35 to 154 of the family's 154-position model. The record is from RNAcentral.